AUCACGCGUCAGGAGAGCGCGUGGCCGCUUCAUGACAGCUCAUGUAAGCCGGGCCGCGCCGCCGAAGGGGCAUACCUGCAAACUCUCAGGCAAAAGGACCGACCGCGUCGG
RNAcentral lists this non-coding RNA (111 nucleotides) under unidentified. Its description in RNAcentral is "Candidatus Burkholderia Glycine sequence". It matches the Rfam family "Glycine riboswitch aptamer". Rfam says of the family: This family represents the bacterial glycine riboswitch. The record is from RNAcentral.